AUGCAAAACCUGCUUCUCCCCAAUGCCGCCGCCGCCGCGCCCUGGUGCGCGCAGCCGCGGCGGCGGCCAUCCCGCCUCUCCGUGCGCGCCUCGGCGUCGUCACCGUCGGCGCCUCGGCGGGAGACCGACCCGAGGAAGCGGGUGGUGAUCACGGGGAUGGCCGUGGUGUCCGUGUUCGGGAACGACGUGGACGCGUACUAUGCCCGGCUCCUCGCCGGGGAGAGCGGCGUCGGCGCCAUCGACAGCUUCGACGCCUCCGGGUUCCCCACCCGCUUCGCCGCCCAGAUCCGCGGCUUCUCCUCCGAGGGCUACGUCGACGCCAAGCUCGACCGCCGCCUCGACGACUGCCACCGCUACGCCCUCGUCGCCUCCAAGAAGGCCCUCGAGUCCGCCUGCCUCGCCGCCGGGUCCAGCGCCAUGGAGAAGGUCGACAAAGAACGUGCCGGCGUGAUUGUCGGGUCCGGCAUGGGCGGCAUCACGGCCUUCUCCGACGGCGUCGAGAACCUCGUGACCAAGGGGUACAGGAAGAUAUCUCCCUUCUGCAUCCCGCACGCCAUCACCAACACGAGCUCCGCCAUGAUCGCCAUGGACGCGGCCGUCGGCUUCCGGGGCCCUAACUACUCGAUCUCCACGGCAUGUGCCACCUCCAACCACUGCUUCCACAGCGCCGCCGACCAGAUCCGGUUGGGCCGAGCCGACGUCAUGGUCGCCGGUGGCACCGAAGCCGCCAUCAUUCCAAUAGGGCUCGGCGGGUUCGUGGCGUGCAGAGCGCUGUCGCAGAGGAACGACGACCCCGGCACGGCGUCGAGGCCGUGGGACAAGGACCGCGAUGGCUUUGUCAUGGGCGAAGGAGCCGGAAUACUGGUCAUGGAAAGCCUCGAGCAUGCAAUGAGACGCGACGCUCCGAUUCUGGCGGAGUACUUGGGAGGCGCCGUAAACAGCAACGCUUACCACAUGACUAAUCCGAGACCAGAUGGCUGCGGCGUGUCGGUGUGCAUCAGGCAGAGCCUUGAAAACGCAGGCGUCACACCAGAGGAGGUCAAUUACAUAAAUGCUCAUGCAACCUCAACCCCCGCUGGAGAUCUUGCAGAGGUGAAUGCUUUGAAGCAAGUUUUCAAGGACCCAUCUCGGAUUAAACUGAACGCAACCAAGUCAAUGAUAGGGCAUUCCCUAGGUGCAGCGGGCGGUUUGGAGGCCAUCGCUACCAUCAAAGCAAUAACCACCGGAUGGGUGCAUCCUACUAUAAACCAAUUUAACCCAGAGCCGGAAGUUGAUCAAUUUAACACGGUGCGUAGUGUAAAGCAACAGCAUGAAGUACACGUUGGUAUCUCCAAUUCAUUUGGAUUCGGAGGACAAAAUUCAGUGGUGGUAUUUGCGCCAUUUAAGUCCUAA
RNAcentral lists this ribosomal RNA (1392 nucleotides) under Triticum aestivum (bread wheat). Its description in RNAcentral is "partial small subunit ribosomal RNA". The record is from RNAcentral. Lineage: Eukaryota; Viridiplantae; Streptophyta; Magnoliopsida; Poales; Poaceae.